RNAcentral lists this ribosomal RNA (851 nucleotides) under uncultured marine bacterium. RNAcentral's name for it is "bacterial SSU rRNA". It matches the Rfam family "Bacterial small subunit ribosomal RNA", at positions 40 to 889 of the family's 1533-position model. The record is from RNAcentral.
CGAGUAGGGAGCUACCAUGCAGUCGAGCGAGAAGUAUCUUCGGAUAUGAGUAGAGCGGCGGACGGGUGAGUAACGCGUAGGAAUCUACCUAGUAGAAGGGGAUAGCCCGGGGAAACUCGGAUUAAUACCGUAUACCUCCUAAGGGAGAAAGAGGGCCUCUCUUGAUGCUCUCGCUAUUAGAUGAGCCUGCGUAAGAUUAGCUUGUUGGUAAGGUAAUGGCUUACCAAGGCUACGAUCUUUAGCUGGUCUGAGAGGACGAUCAGCCACAUUGGGACUGAGACACGGCCCAGACUCCUACGGGAGGCAGCAGUGGGGAAUAUUGGACAAUGGGCGAAGCCUGAUCCAGCCAUACCGCGUGUGUGAAGAAGGCCUUCGGGUUGUAAAGCACUUUAAGCAGGGAGAAAAAGUUAUAAGUUAAUACCUUAUAACCGUGAUGUUACCUGCAGAAUAAGCACCGGCUAAUUCCGUGCCAGCAGCCGCGGUAAUACGGAAGGUGCAAGCGUUAAUCGGAAUUACUGGGCGUAAAGCGCGCGUAGGUGGUUUGUUAAGUUGGAUGUGAAAGCCCUGGGCUCAACCUAGGAACUGCAUCCAAAACUAACUCACUAGAGUACGAUAGAGGGAGGUAGAAUUCAUAGUGUAGCGGUGGAAUGCGUAGAUAUUAUGAAGAAUACCAGUGGCGAAGGCGGCCUCCUGGAUCUGUACUGACACUGAGGUGCGAAAGCGUGGGUAGCGAACAGGAUUAGAUACCCUGGUAGUCCACGCCGUANACGAUGACAACUAGCUGUUGGGAGACAAUGUCUUUCAGUGGCGCAGCUAACGUUUUAAGUUGUCCGCCUGGGGAGUACGGCCGC